GUGGGGAAUAUUGGGCAAUGGGGGAAACCCUGACCCAGCAACGCCGCGUGAGGGAAGAAGGUUUUCGGAUUGUAAACCUCUGUCCUUGGUGACGAAGGAAGUGACGGUAGCCAAGGAGGAAGCCCCGGCUAACUACGUGCCAGCAGCCGCGGUAAUACGUAGGGGGCAAGCGUUGUCCGGAAUGACUGGGCGUAAAGGGCGUGUAGGCGGCCGAGUACGUCUGGAGUGAAAGUCCUGCUUUCAAGGUGGGAAUUGCUUUGGAGACUGGUUGGCUUGAGUGCGGAAGAGGUAAGUGGAAUUCCCAGUGUAGCGGUGAAAUGCGUAGAGAUUGGGAGGAACACCAGUGGCGAAGGCGACUUACUGGGCCGUAACUGACGCUGAGGCGCGAAAGCGUGGGGAGCGAACAGGAUUAGAUACCCUUGUAGUCC
This 428-nucleotide ribosomal RNA is filed under the name uncultured bacterium. RNAcentral's name for it is "partial 16S ribosomal RNA". It matches the Rfam family "Bacterial small subunit ribosomal RNA", at positions 354 to 796 of the family's 1533-position model. The record is from RNAcentral.